AGCGAACGCUGGCGGCAGGCCUAACACAUGCAAGUCGAACGGACCCUUCGGGGUUAGUGGCGGACGGGUGAGUAACACGUGGGAACGUGCCCUUUGGUUUGGAACAACACAGGGAAACUUGUGCUAAUACCGGAUAAGCCCUUCGGGGGAAAGAUUUAUUGCCAUUGGAGCGGCCCGCGUUGGAUUAGGUAGUUGGUGAGGUAAAGGCUCACCAAGCCUGCGAUCCAUAGCUGGUCUGAGGGGAUGAUCAGCCACAUUGGGACUGAGACACGGCCCAAACUCCUACGGGAGGCAGCAGUGGGGAAUCUUGCGCAAUGGGCGAAAGCCUGACGCAGCCAUGCUGCGUGAAUGAUGAAGGUCUUAGGAUUGUAAAAUUCUUUCAGCGGGGACGAUAAUGACGGUACCCGCAGAAGAAGCCCCGGCUAACUUCGUGCCAGCAGCCGCGGUAAUACGAAGGGGGCUAGCGUUGCUCGGAAUUACUGGGCGUAAAGGGAGCGUAGGCGGAUAGUUUAGUCAGAGGUGAAAGCCCAGGGCUCAACCUUGGAAAUGCCUUUGAUACUGGCUAUCUUGAGUAUGGGAGAGG
RNAcentral lists this ribosomal RNA (583 nucleotides) under uncultured Caulobacteraceae bacterium. RNAcentral describes it as "bacterial SSU rRNA". It matches the Rfam family "Bacterial small subunit ribosomal RNA", at positions 28 to 657 of the family's 1533-position model. Lineage: Bacteria; Pseudomonadati; Pseudomonadota; Alphaproteobacteria; Caulobacterales; Caulobacteraceae. The record is from RNAcentral.